UGGGGAAUAUUGCGCAAUGGGGGAAACCCUGACGCAGCAACGCCGCGUGAGUGAAGAAGGCCUUAGGGUUGUAAAGCUCUGUCAUAUGGGAAGAUAAUGACGGUACCAUAAGAGGAAGCCACGGCUAACUACGUGCCAGCAGCCGCGGUAAUACGUAGGUGGCGAGCGUUGUCCGGAUUUACUGGGCGUAAAGGAUGCGUAGGCGGAUAUUUAAGUGGGAUGUGAAAUCCCCGAGCUUAACUCGGGGGCUGCAUUCCAAACUGGAUAUCUAGAGUGUCGGAGGGGAAAGUGGAAUUCCUAGUGUAGCGGUGAAAUGCGUAGAGAUUAGGAAGAACACCAGUGGCGAAGGCGACUUUCUGGACGAUAACUGACGCUGAGGCAUGAAAGCGUGGGGAGCAAA
This 400-nucleotide ribosomal RNA is filed under the name uncultured bacterium. RNAcentral describes it as "bacterial SSU rRNA". It matches the Rfam family "Bacterial small subunit ribosomal RNA", at positions 355 to 772 of the family's 1533-position model. The record is from RNAcentral.